GCCUGAAUCAGAGGAAGGAUCUGAUGUAGAGGAGCAACCUGCCAGUAGAUUGGAAAUGACUCUUCAGACUGGUGUUCUUGUGCACAAAUGCCCCAGGAGAAAGAAAAUAUGUUGCCAAUAAAUACCUCAGGUCAUAAAAAGAAUGACCCAGGUUCCUGAGGAGAUAACCUGUAUGACUCACCAUCCUGGCCAUCAUCCGGUGUGCCUCAAUAAAUAUUCUUUGCAAAAUGCAAUGAAUAUUUACAGAGUUGACCAUGGCCAGUUGAGAAUCAGAGGGAUGGAAAGGCCAUGCAGACCCAGGGCCUAUAGGACUUGGUGAGCUGGUGCUGGGUUUUCUUGGUAGAAGUGUCCGUGUCGUGAUCCCCUCUUGUGUCGUGC
Molecule: long non-coding RNA, 378 nt
Organism: Etheostoma spectabile (orangethroat darter)
Lineage: Eukaryota; Metazoa; Chordata; Actinopteri; Perciformes; Percidae
Exons: 4
Source: RefSeq, a predicted model, not a curated record